Molecule: long non-coding RNA, 660 nt
Filed under: Glycine max (soybean)
Lineage: Eukaryota; Viridiplantae; Streptophyta; Magnoliopsida; Fabales; Fabaceae
Description: long non-coding RNA (GMAX_LNC004080)
Source: RNAcentral
UAGCGGUGGUUUGUAUUGCAAUUCAUUGAGACAAACAUAACAUGUCAAAAGUGAUGAUAGAGGUGCAAUAAAAUAAAGAUUGAAGAAGAUUCAAAUGGCUUGCAUUUCCAAGAUGAUAACAAAAACACCAAUAGACAAGCAAGCCUCACAUGAGAAAGAGAAAAAAUAAAUUAAAAGAAGAUAAGGCAAAGGAAGGGAUCUAAGUGUCAUUUCAGCUUUCGGCUAAGGGCAUCAUCAUCUAACACCAUGCAAUCUUAAAAGCAUGUUGACCGUUGACCACUGGCCAAAGUGGACCCUACCACACCAGAUCCAUCCACCCUCGAACCUCGAUCUCUUUCUCUUGUGACCCCACUAACAUGGGACACGUCAUCAGCGUCAGCAUCUGAACCGGGUUCAGUGCAUGAACCGGUUCAAAGGAGGGAGCUAUUAGUAGAGACACGUUUGGACAAAACGCAGGAUCUAGGGGGUUGCGUGGUUUGCCCUAUCUGGUUUCUGUAACCACACAAGAAAACUUGUUACUUGAGCCCGCAUGCACUAAUUUCUCUAUUUUUCUUUUUUCAAUUGUGUUAUAAAUUGGUAGAGAAAUGAAAGGGAACAAAUUAGUUGUAGUUAUAGGGUAGAAGUAUUAGGUGGGGUGGGUAAUGGGGUAUAUUGUAUUGG